UACGUAGGGUGCGAGCGUUAAUCGGAAUUACUGGGCGUAAAGGGUGCGCAGGCGGUUCUGCAAGUCAGGCGUGAAAGCCCCGGGCUUAACCUGGGAAUGGCGCUUGAAACUACAGGACUGGAGUAUGGCAGAGGGAGGUGGAAUUCCACGUGUAGCGGUGAAAUGCGUAGAGAUGUGGAGGAACACCGAUGGCGAAGGCAGCCCCCUGGGCCAACACUGACGCUCAGGCACGAAAGCGUGGGGAGCAAACAGG
RNAcentral lists this ribosomal RNA (253 nucleotides) under uncultured bacterium. Its description in RNAcentral is "partial 16S ribosomal RNA". It matches the Rfam family "Bacterial small subunit ribosomal RNA", at positions 524 to 776 of the family's 1533-position model. The record is from RNAcentral.